UCUCACCCAGCCCCGGCCCCAGAACCGGACAAACGACCUCAGGGACUGCAUUCUAGGCAAUCCAGGGCUCCCAGAGCUCGCCAGGCCCGGCUGGGGCUGGCUGUUUCCAAGUGCUCUGACAGAGAGCAUCCCUCCUGAAGCCUCCCUUUCCACAAGCCUCCCAAUCCCAAAUUCUGGAAGCAUUGCUGGCCCAUUUUGCAGAUCAGAAACACAAGAGUCUGGAAGUGAAGCGCCACCCGUGCCCCAGGCCCCUUCCCGACCCCCCAGUAAGGAAGGAGAUCCUGCCAGGUUGCCUGCGGGAAGGGGAAAGAAACCAUGUGCUCUGUCCCCCAGACUCUAAGACCCUCCCCCUUCCUCUGCACUCUGCCAGCCCCUCCCCAGGAACGGUUCUGGUUUCUGGCUUUAAUUGUUUUAAUAACAAAGCUAGGAAGGGCUUCUGUAGAUUAGAGCUGGGCCGCAGCAAGCAGGACCCCCCCCCCCCAGGAGCUGCUCCCUCCUCCCUAACGGGACUUAGAGCAGAGGGGAGGGCGGGAGAAGGGGCCCGGCCAAUGGCUCUCUGGGCCGGGGGACAGCCUGGGCACUGGGAAGGGUGGGUGCCGAGGUGGAAGAAGAGAGUUUGGAAGAUGGGUGGGGGUGGGGCGGCCUGAAAUCGCCCAGUUCAGCUCCCUUUUGACAGAUGGGGAAACCGAGGCCCGGAACCGGGAACGAUAUGCGCGAGGUCUCCCAGGUUUGCAGAGCACUUUAUGUCUGUUCUCCCGAAGAAGCAGAGAAGAUCACUCCAGGGCUCAGCACACAGCUUUGGGGAAGCAGGGCCCCACCCUGGGCACACAGCCGGGAGGAAGUGGAACCCCACCGCGGGAACACAGCUGGGGGGAAGUGAACCCUACCGCGGGCACAUAGCUGGGGGGGGGGGGGAAGCGGAGCCCCACCCGGGCACACAGCUGGGGGAGAACGGAGACCCACCUGGGCACACAGCUGGGGGAGAACAGAGCCCCACCCUGGCACACAGCUGGGGGGGAGCAGAGUCCUUCUCUGCCUUCCCUUCCCUCUGCUGCCCCAGCUAGUGACCGGGGGGGGGGGCAGUCACCCUCCCUGCCCAAACCCCUUUGAGAAGGAGUGAACAUGUGGUAGUCCCGUCUUCCCUGAAAGGCUGGAGAGAAGUGACAGGCAUCUCGGAGCUUGCCAAGUUCCUACUCCAGGAGGAUGACCUGAUGGGGAAACUGAGGCUUGCCCCGAGUUCCCGAGAAGGUCCCUGACUUCCAGGUCCCAGCUUCUCACCUCAUCAUCACGACUCUCAUCUGGGCCCUGGGGACGAGGGCUCCACGACCUGGCUGAGCAAGCUGGUCUCUGUCUUUAAUGCAUCUCAGACAGAGCCAGGGAAUUCUCCACAGCACAACCUCAUCUAAGCCCCUGACUGAGAUCCAGCCCCCAGCCUUCCCACCAGCCUGGCUUUACUGGCUUCCUGGCUGAAGAUGGCACUUAACUGGAUUUUGAGGAAGCAUUUCACAAGGCCUCUGGUGAGCAGAGAGGAAAUCAUCAGGGGGACCUGAAACAGCUUUGGGUGGCCAGACCCAGCCUCCCCCUGGGAGGAGGUUUCUAGUGGGGUGCCCCAAGAUCCAGCUGUGGCCCUCCGCUGGGAGUCAACUCAAGGAAUGUUUCCUGACUGGCUGGCUGAACGUUUCCAUCAAAGCUCUGGACAAAGGCAGGGACGGCAUCUCCAUCAAAGGGAUGGACAGGAGGCUGGGAGGGAGACUGCCCCGGGGUACUACGGUUCUUAGAAGACUGGAGUUGGCUGGAACAUGAGUCAGAGCACAGAAGACAGGAUGAUGAGCUCCAGGCCUGCACUUGGGCUUCAAAAGCCAGAGGCGAAUGAUUAGGGUGGGAUGGGCUUGCAGAUUCAGUUCCCCAUGGGCCCAGUUCCCAGAGACAGGAACAGCAUGGGAGGGGAGAGAUUCUCUGAAGAGGGUGGUUUGAUUCGGGAAACGUGGGGCCUGGCAAUGGCCAAAAGCAUCCCCCCCUCAGCUUUCUCCUCCGAGCACCAAGCUCCCCACUUCCAUGCAGUUAGAAGUUACCCAUUAACUUCUCUCUGCUCUCUAGUAAGCCAUUUUCUGUGCUUCGGGGAGACAGAACAGCUGGUUGUGUGCUCCAGGGAGACAGAACAGCUGGUCACUCUUCUGAAGAAAGCCUCUCCGUUGGCAAUUGUGAAGCUUUUCUCUUGUGGGAUUAAAAAAUAACUCCAUUUGUUUAAGAAUUUUAAAAGCUACGUGGACUUCUCUGUAGAGAAGGGACUUUGGGAAUCCUUCCUCCCCCAGGCUGAUCAGGCUUCAGUUAAUGAACCCCAGCAUCAUUCCCUGGGCUUUCACAAAGAAGAGGAAUGAGUGACCAGCAGUUGGGGGCUACAAAAUGUAGAAGAGACAUCCAAAAUUAAGUGGGAGGGGGCACUGGGGCUGAAGAAAAGCCAAGGGGGAACAAGGAAUCUUAGGUGAGUGUUGCUCCCCCCAAGAAGACUAAAUGCAAAGAGUGUGGAAGGUCUCUGGCUGUGAACUGGUUCUCAAAGGGGGAGGGAUCGUUGUGCUGCACACACAUCCACUGCCCGACUCUCAAACCCAAGCCUUCAUCGAGGGGGAAAAGUUAAAGUUUCACAAUUGUUGUCAAACCACUGAAUGUUUGAUUGUUUUGGUUUGUUUUUGUUUUUUUUUAUAAAGCCUAGCUGUCCUUUUU
Sarcophilus harrisii (Tasmanian devil) is the source of this 2721-nucleotide long non-coding RNA. RefSeq lists it as uncharacterized. NCBI's taxonomy places the organism in Eukaryota, Metazoa, Chordata, Mammalia, Dasyuromorphia, Dasyuridae. The record is from RefSeq and is a predicted model, not a curated record. The transcript has 5 exons.